CCUGCCCCUAUAAAGUAAGUGGCUGCUCAGUCACAUUUGCAUUUCUAGGUGAUAGAAAUGAGAGAGGCUAUAUCUGUGUUCAGUAUUCUGACAGAUGAACAUGGGAAUAGUUAGUAGUCUAACAUU
Rattus rattus (black rat) is the source of this 126-nucleotide small nucleolar RNA. RefSeq annotates it as small nucleolar RNA SNORA17. The transcript has a single exon. The record is from RefSeq and is a predicted model, not a curated record. NCBI's taxonomy places the organism in Eukaryota, Metazoa, Chordata, Mammalia, Rodentia, Muridae.